GUGCUCGCUUCUGCAGCAUAUAUAUUAAAAUUGGAAGGAUACAGAGAAGAUUAACACAGCCCCUGCACAAGGAUGGCAUGCAAAUUCGUGAAGUGUUCCAUAUUUUU
Lepus europaeus (European hare) is the source of this 107-nucleotide small nuclear RNA. Lineage: Eukaryota; Metazoa; Chordata; Mammalia; Lagomorpha; Leporidae. The record is from RefSeq and is a predicted model, not a curated record.